This 253-nucleotide ribosomal RNA is filed under the name uncultured bacterium. RNAcentral's name for it is "partial 16S ribosomal RNA". It matches the Rfam family "Bacterial small subunit ribosomal RNA", at positions 524 to 776 of the family's 1533-position model. The record is from RNAcentral.
UACGUAGGCAGCAAGCGUUGUUCGGAGUUACUGGGCGUAAAGAGUGUGUAGGCGGUUUUCUAAGUUUGGUGUGAAAUCUCCCGGCUUAACUGGGAGGGUGCGCCGGAAACUGGAGUGCUUGAGCGCGGGAGAGGAAAGCGGAAUUCCUGGUGUAGCGGUGGAAUGCGCAGAUAUCAGGAGGAACACCGAUGGCGAAGGCAGAUCUCUGGGCCGUAACUGACGCUGAGGAGCGAAAGCGUGGGGAGCGAACAGG